GUUGGGUAGGGGAGCGUUCUGUAAGCCUGUGAAGGUGGCCUGUGAGGGUUGCUGGAGGUAUCAGAAGUGCGAAUGCUGACAUAAGUAACGAUAAAGCGGGUGAAAAGCCCGCUCGCCGGAAGACCAAGGGUUCCUGUCCAACGUUAAUCGGGGCAGGGUGAGUCGACCCCUAAGGCGAGGCCGAAAGGCGUAGUCGAUGGGAAACAGGUUAAUAUUCCUGUACUUGGUGUUACUGCGAAGGGGGGACGGAGAAGGCUAUGUUGGCCGGGCGACGGUUGUCCCGGUUUAAGCGUGUAGGUGUGUGUUCCAGGUAAAUCCGGUUCACUUUAACACUGAGGCGUGAUGACGAGGCACUACGGUGCUGAAGCAACAAAUGCCCUGCUUCCAGGAAAAGCCUCUAAGCAUCAGGUAACAUCAAAUCGUACCCCAAACCGACACAGGUGGUCAGGUAGAGAAUACCAAGGCGCUUGAGAGAACUCGGGUGAAGGAACUAGGCAAAAUGGUGCCGUAACUUCGGGAGAAGGCACGCUGACAUGUAGGUGAAGUGAUUUACUCACGGAGCUGAAGUCAGUCGAAGAUACCAGCUGGCUGCAACUGUUUAUUAAAAACACAGCACUGUGCAAACACGAAAGUGGACGUAUACGGUGUGACGCCUGCCCGGUGCCGGAAGGUUAAUUGAUGGGGUCAGCGCAAGCGAAGCUCCUGAUCGAAGCCCCGGUAAACGGCGGCCGUAACUAUAACGGUCCUAAGGUAGCGAAAUUCCUUGUCGGGUAAGUUCCGACCUGCACGAAUGGCGUAAUGAUGGCCAGGCUGUCUCCACCCGAGACUCAGUGAAAUUGAACUCGCUGUGAAGAUGCAGUGUACCCGCGGCAAGACGGAAAGACCCCGUGAACCUUUACUAUAGCUUGACACUGAACAUUGAGCCUUGAUGUGUAGGAUAGGUGGGAGGCUUUGAAGUGUGGACGCCAGUCUGCAUGGAGCCGACCUUGAAAUACCACCCUUUAAUGUUUGAUGUUCUAACGUGGACCCGUGAUCCGGGUUGCGGACAGUGUCUGGUGGGUAGUUUGACUGGGGCGGUCUCCUCCUAAAGAGUAACGGAGGAGCACGAAGGUUGGCUAAUCCUGGUCGGACAUCAGGAGGUUAGUGCAAUGGCAUAAGCCAGCUUGACUGCGAGCGUGACGGCGCGAGCAGGUGCGAAAGCAGGUCAUAGUGAUCCGGUGGUUCUGAAUGGAAGGGCCAUCGCUCAACGGAUAAAAGGUACUCCGGGGAUAACAGGCUGAUACCGCCCAAGAGUUCAUAUCGACGGCGGUGUUUGGCACCUCGAUGUCGGCUCAUCACAUCCUGGGGCUGAAGUAGGUCCCAAGGGUAUGGCUGUUCGCCAUUUAAAGUGGUACGCGAGCUGGGUUUAGAACGUCGUGAGACAGUUCGGUCCCUAUCUGCCGUGGGCGCUGGAGAACUGAGGGGGGCUGCUCCUAGUACGAGAGGACCGGAGUGGACGCAUCACUGGUGUUCGGGUUGUCAUGCCAAUGGCACUGCCCGGUAGCUAAAUGCGGAAGAGAUAAGUGCUGAAAGCAUCUAAGCACGAAACUUGCCCCGAGAUGAGUUCUCCCUGAGACUUAGAGUCUCCUGAAGGAACGUUGAAGACGACGACGUUGAUAGGCCGGGUGUGUAAGCGCAGCGAUGCGUUGAGCUAACCGGUACUAAUGAACCGUGAGGCUUAACCUUACAACGCCGAAG
This 1737-nucleotide ribosomal RNA is filed under the name Salmonella enterica subsp. enterica serovar Anatum. RNAcentral's name for it is "bacterial LSU rRNA". It matches the Rfam family "Bacterial large subunit ribosomal RNA", at positions 1223 to 2925 of the family's 2925-position model. Lineage: Bacteria; Pseudomonadati; Pseudomonadota; Gammaproteobacteria; Enterobacterales; Enterobacteriaceae. The record is from RNAcentral.